RNAcentral lists this ribosomal RNA (216 nucleotides) under Glomeromycotina sp. Its description in RNAcentral is "partial small subunit ribosomal RNA". The stretch from base 40 to 216 matches the Rfam family "Eukaryotic small subunit ribosomal RNA", at positions 686 to 864 of the family's 1831-position model. The record is from RNAcentral. Lineage: Eukaryota; Fungi; Glomeromycota.
GGGUCAGUAGGUUGGUCGUGCCACUGGUACGUACUGGUCUCACUGAUUCCUCCUUCCUGAAGAACCGUAAUGCCAUUAAUUUGGUGUUGCGGGGAAACAGGACUGUUACUUUGAAAAAAUUAGAGUGUUUAAAGCAAGCUAACGCUUGAAUAAAUUAGCAUGGAAUAAUGAAAUAGGACGAUCGAUCCUAUUUUGUUGGUUUCCAGGAUUGACGUA